This 433-nucleotide ribosomal RNA is filed under the name uncultured bacterium. Its description in RNAcentral is "partial 16S ribosomal RNA". It matches the Rfam family "Bacterial small subunit ribosomal RNA", at positions 29 to 507 of the family's 1533-position model. The record is from RNAcentral.
AACGAACGCUGGCGGCAUGCCUAACACAUGCAAGUCGAACGAGACCUUCGGGUCUAGUGGCGCACGGGUGCGUAACGCGUGGGAACCUUCCCUUAUGUUCGGAAUAACUCCCCGAAAGGGGUGCUAAUACCGGACAAUGUCUUCGGACCAAAGAUUUAUCGCCUUUGGAUGGGCCCGCGUUGGAUUAGCUAGUUGGUAGGGUAAAAGCCUACCAAGGCGACGAUCCAUAGCUGGUCUGAGAGGAUGAUCAGCCACACUGGGACUGAGACACGGCCCAGACUCCUACGGGAGGCAGCAGUGGGGAAUAUUGGACAAUGGGCGAAAGCCUGAUCCAGCAAUGCCGCGUGAGUGAUGAAGGCCGUAGGGUUGUAAAGCUCUUUUAACCGGGAUGAUAAUGACAGUACCGGGAGAAUAAGCCCCGGCUAACUCCGUG